UCCAAAGACAAAGUCGACCGGAGCCAAACUAACGCGAGUGUGAAGUGCCAGCCCACCACGUAUCUACCCGUCCAAGAGCACAUUCACCAUGUAGAGCUGAUAGACCGCCAGAACUGGCAGCUCCGCAGUGAGUCAGUGUCGGCCGACCCACUGCCACGCGAGCCACCAACUAAAGCUUGGCGAGCCGCGCAAUGAGUAACACUGGUCUAGUGGUUCGGCUUCCAAUUACAGCACGAGGUGGUUGUGAGUUCAACACCACAGCUGCUCCAGAUGUGAUACGAUCUGGAGUACAUCCUGCGGGUCAGAUGGGAUUCUAUUGAUGCAGCUUAUCACCAAACGUUCAGCCGCUACAGAGACAGUUAAAGUCUUAUUAUACAUCUUCUUGC
Molecule: long non-coding RNA, 386 nt
Organism: Cottoperca gobio
Lineage: Eukaryota; Metazoa; Chordata; Actinopteri; Perciformes; Bovichtidae
Exons: 4
Source: RefSeq, a predicted model, not a curated record